GCGGGGAUGGUGGAAUCGGUAGACACACGAGAUUUAAAAUCUCGCGGCGUACGCGCUGUGCGGGUUCAAGUCCCGCUCUCCGCACCA
RNAcentral lists this transfer RNA (87 nucleotides) under Salinivibrio sharmensis. RNAcentral describes it as "tRNA-Leu". It matches the Rfam family "tRNA". From Rfam's summary of the family: Transfer RNA (tRNA) molecules are approximately 80 nucleotides in length. Their secondary structure includes four short double-helical elements and three loops (D, anti-codon, and T loops). The record is from RNAcentral. Lineage: Bacteria; Pseudomonadati; Pseudomonadota; Gammaproteobacteria; Vibrionales; Vibrionaceae.